Molecule: ribosomal RNA, 363 nt
Filed under: Pectobacterium sp.
Lineage: Bacteria; Pseudomonadati; Pseudomonadota; Gammaproteobacteria; Enterobacterales; Pectobacteriaceae
Description: bacterial SSU rRNA
Rfam family: Bacterial small subunit ribosomal RNA
Source: RNAcentral
GCGGCAGGCUACACAUGCAGUCGAGCGGUAGCACAGAGAGCUUGCUCUCGGGUGACGAGCGGCGGACGGGUGAGUAAUGUCUGGGAAACUGCCUGAUGGAGGGGGAUAACUACUGGAAACGGUAGCUAAUACCGCAUAAUGUCGCAAGACCAAAGUGGGGGACCUUCGGGCCUCAUGCCAUCAGAUGUGCCCAGAUGGGAUUAGCUAGUAGGUGGGGUAACGGCUCACCUAGGCGACGAUCCCUAGCUGGUCUGAGAGGAUGACCAGCCACACUGGAACUGAGACACGGUCCAGACUCCUACGGGAGGCAGCAGUGGGGAAUAUUGCACAAUGGGCGCAAGCCUGAUGCAGCCAUGCCGCGUG